This 250-nucleotide unclassified non-coding RNA is filed under the name plant metagenome. RNAcentral's name for it is "partial contains small subunit ribosomal RNA, internal transcribed spacer 1, and 5.8S ribosomal RNA". The record is from RNAcentral.
GUAGGUGAACCUGCGGAAGGAUCAUUAACACGUAUCCACGUAUCAACCCCUCUGUGAAACCUCAGCAACAGAAAGGUCUGAUCUUAGUGCACUGUCCGCAUAGGUCCUAAUGAUGGCCGGUCUUCGGAUCGGGGGGCCGGGCAGUGUGUGCUUGACGAUCAACCGUUACUUUCCCAUUGUUGGCCUUUACUAUUUUUAACCCCUUUGUACUUUUUGUACUGAACCAUUCUUCGAUGCUCUCCCCUGAGAG